RNAcentral lists this non-coding RNA (45 nucleotides) under Schistosoma margrebowiei. The record is from RNAcentral. Lineage: Eukaryota; Metazoa; Platyhelminthes; Trematoda; Strigeidida; Schistosomatidae.
AUUCAACUGACGAGUCGUGAACAGGACGAGAUGUGCGUCUUGGAU